This 460-nucleotide ribosomal RNA is filed under the name uncultured bacterium. RNAcentral describes it as "partial 16S ribosomal RNA". It matches the Rfam family "Bacterial small subunit ribosomal RNA", at positions 338 to 795 of the family's 1533-position model. The record is from RNAcentral.
CCUACGGGAGGCUGCAGUGAGGAAUAUUGGUCAAUGGGCGCGAGUCUGAACCAGCCAAGUAGCGUGAAGGAUGACUGCCCUACGGGUUGUAAACUCCUUUUAUAAAGGAAUAAAGUGAGGCACGUGUGCCGUUUUGUAUGUCUUUUAUGAAUAAGGAUCGGCUAACUCCGUGCCAGCAGCCGCGGUAAUACGGAGGAUCCGAGCGUUAUCCGGAUUUAUUGGGUUUAAGGGGAGCGUAGAUGGGUUGUUAAGUAAGUUGUGAACGUUUGCGGCUCAACAUUAAAAUUGCAAUUGAUACUGGCAGCCUUGAGUACAGUUGAGGUAGGCGGAAUUCGUGGUGUAGCGGUGAAAUGCGUAGAUAUCACGAAGAACUCCGAUUGCGAAGGCAGCCUACUAAACUGCCACUGACAUUGAUGCUCGAAAGUGUGGGUAGCAAACAGGAUUAGAUACCCCUGUAGUC